UACGAGAGACAUAAGAGUGCACGGUGGAUGCCUUGGCCUAGGACGGCUAUGAAGGACGCGACUAACCUGCGAAAAGCUUCGGGGAGGCGGUUUGUAGCCUUUGAUCCGGAGAUGUCCGAAUGGGGAAACCCUUCCAGUCUUGAACUGGAAAUCCGCGGAGUAACGUCUGCGAGAAGCGAACCCGGGGAAGUGAAACAUCUCAGUACCCGGAGGAAAAGAGAACAAUAGGAGUUGCGUUCCGCUCACGCGUAUGUUCGUGUGAGUGGAACGCAACUCUCGUGAUACCCCUAGUAGCGGCGAGCGAAAAGGGAAAAGCCCAAACCGAAGUCUUCGGGCUUCGGGGUUGUAAGGUAUAAGCUUCGUACUUGUACGAGAAGAGUUAUCAAUCGUCUUUAUAGCGGAAGCUGUUGGAAAGCAGCGCCACAGAGGGUAAUGGCCCCGUACGCGAAAUGAAGUCGACUCUUGCUUAUAUUCUUGAGUAACUCGAGACACGAAUAGCUCGAGUGAAUCUGCCGGAACUAACCGGUAAGGCUAAAUACGUCCUAUGACCGAUAGUGAACUAGUACCGUGAGGGAAAGGUGAAAAGCACCCCGAGAGGGGAGUGAAAUAGACCUGAAACCGUGUACUUACA
This 631-nucleotide ribosomal RNA is filed under the name Patescibacteria group bacterium. RNAcentral describes it as "partial 23S ribosomal RNA". It matches the Rfam family "Bacterial large subunit ribosomal RNA", at positions 1 to 568 of the family's 2925-position model. The record is from RNAcentral.